GCAAUUAUACAGCGAAACUGCGAAUGGCUCAUUAUAUAAGUUAUCGUUUAUUUGAUAGUACCUUACUACUUGGAUAACCGUGGUAAUUCUAGAGCUAAUACAUGCUAAAAAUCCCGACUUCGGAAGGGAUGUAUUUAUUAGAUUAAAAACCAAUGCCCUCUGGGCUCUUUGGUGAUUCAUGAUAACUUCUCGAAUCGCACGGCCUUGCGCCGGCGAUGGUUCAUUCAAAUUUCUUCCCUAUCAACUUUCGAUGUUUGGGUAUUGGCCAAACAUGGUUGCAACGGGUAACGGAGGGUUAGGGCUCGACCCCGGAGAAGGAGCCUGAGAAACGGCUACUACAUCCAAGGAAGGCAGCAGGCGCGCAAAUUACCCAAUCCCGACACGGGGAGGUAGUGACAAUAAAUACUGAUACAGGGCUCUUUUGGGUCUUGUAAUUGGAAUGAGUACAAUUUAAAUCCCUUAACGAGGAACAAUUGGAGGGCAAGUCUGGUGCCAGCAGCCGCGGUAAUUCCAGCUCCAAUAGCGUAUAUUAAAGUUGUUGUGGUUAAAAAGCUCGUAGUUGAACCUUGGGCCUGGCUGGCCGGUCCGCCUCACCGCGUGUACUGGUCCGGCCGGGCCUUUCCCUCUGUGGAACCUCAUGCCCUUCACUGGGUGUGACGGGGAAACAGGACUUUUACUUUGAAAAAAUUAGAGUGCUCCAGGCAGGCCUAUGCUCGAAUACAUUAGCAUGGAAUAAUGAAAUAGGACGUGUGGUUCUAUUUUGUUGGUUUCUAGGACCGCCGUAAUGAUUAAUAGGGACAGUCGGGGGCAUCAGUAUUCAAUUGUCAGAGGUGAAAUUCUUGGAUUUAUUGAAGACUAACUACUGCGAAAGCAUUUGCCAAGGAUGUUUUCAUUAAUCAGGAACGAAAGUUAGGGGAUCGAAGACGAUCAGAUACCGUCGUAGUCUUAACCAUAAACUAUGCCGACUAGGGAUCGGACGAUGUUAUUUUUUGACGCGUUCGGCACCUUACGAGAAAUCAAAGUGCUUGGGCUCC
This 1034-nucleotide ribosomal RNA is filed under the name Parengyodontium album. RNAcentral describes it as "SSU rRNA". It matches the Rfam family "Eukaryotic small subunit ribosomal RNA", at positions 69 to 1115 of the family's 1831-position model. The record is from RNAcentral. Lineage: Eukaryota; Fungi; Ascomycota; Sordariomycetes; Hypocreales; Cordycipitaceae.